CUGCUCGACCGGAAACUUGACGCUGUUUGCUUUGCUUUGAGAAUGAGAAUAGGAAUAAAAACUGGAUGCUGUCCACUCAUACCGGAUUUUAAAGGAUAUUACAACAUGAUGUCAAGAAGUUGUUCUGGAGGAAGAAUGCUGAUAAGAUGAGCAGAGAACACAAACAUCUGGACAUCUUCAGCUCAAUUAAAGGUGUUUAUGCUGCAGCUUCAGAUCUGCGUCUCAUCAUCUCGCAGAAGGGCUGGAUUACACUGAUGGAGGCUUUCAAGCAGAAUAUGCUGCCUGUCAAGACGAGACGUCUGGAAGAUGAUGUAGUCAUGAUUCACUGUUGAGUUUAGAUGCUUAGACAAUUUAAUCAGCAAGGC
Cyprinus carpio carpio is the source of this 365-nucleotide long non-coding RNA. NCBI's taxonomy places the organism in Eukaryota, Metazoa, Chordata, Actinopteri, Cypriniformes, Cyprinidae. The record is from Ensembl.